This 387-nucleotide ribosomal RNA is filed under the name Chaetoceros sp. RNAcentral's name for it is "partial small subunit ribosomal RNA". It matches the Rfam family "Eukaryotic small subunit ribosomal RNA", at positions 582 to 975 of the family's 1831-position model. Lineage: Eukaryota; Bacillariophyta; Thalassiosirophyceae; Chaetocerotales; Chaetocerotaceae. The record is from RNAcentral.
AUUCCAGCUCCAAUAGCGUAUAUUUUAGUUGUUGCAGUUAAAAAGCUCGUAGUUGAAUUUCUGGUGGGAAGAUGCGGACGGCCUCAUGGCUUGUUCCAAGUCUUCCGGCCAUCCUUGGGUGGAGCUCGUCUGGCAUUAAGUUGUCGGGCGGGGGAUGCCCAUCGUUUACUGUGAAAAAAUUAAAGUGUUCAAAGCAGACUUAUGUCGUUGAAUAUAUUAGCAUGGAAUAAUAAGAUAGGACAGCAGUGCUAUUUUGUUGGUUUGCGCACCGUUGUAAUGAUGAAUAGGGACAGUUGUGGGUAUUUAUAUUCACUUGUAAGAGGUGAAAUUCUUAGAUUAAGGGAAGAUAAACUACUGCGAAAGCAUCUACCAAGGAUGUUUUCAUCA